Molecule: unclassified non-coding RNA, 297 nt
Filed under: uncultured fungus
Lineage: Eukaryota; Fungi
Description: partial contains small subunit ribosomal RNA, internal transcribed spacer 1, and 5.8S ribosomal RNA
Rfam family: Eukaryotic small subunit ribosomal RNA (bases 1-73)
Source: RNAcentral
GCAAACUUGGUCAUUUAGAGGAAGUACAAGUCGUAACAAGGUAUCCGUAGGUGAACCUGCGGAUGGAUCAUUACCAAAGGAACACACACAACUUCCUACGUACUGUGAACUGUUUUGACUGACAGUCAGCAGCUGUUGCCCUACUGCCCUGCUGUAGAGGGGCGGCGUUGCUGACUGUACCCACUACUGAACGUGUAUACUGUAGCUUCUAGACUGACUGAACUGCUUUAGUAUGUUGAACUAAAGACAACUUUUAGCAAUGGAUCUCUUGGUUCUCGCAUCGAUGAAGAACGCAGC